RNAcentral lists this ribosomal RNA (372 nucleotides) under uncultured organism. RNAcentral's name for it is "partial 16S ribosomal RNA". It matches the Rfam family "Bacterial small subunit ribosomal RNA", at positions 527 to 896 of the family's 1533-position model. The record is from RNAcentral.
GUAGGUGGCAAGCGUUGUCCGGAAUUAUUGGGCGUAAAGCGCGCGCAGGCGGUUCUUUAAGUCUGAUGUGAAAGCCCACGGCUCAACCGUGGAGGGUCAUUGGAAACUGGAGAACUUGAGUACAGAAGAGGAAAGCGGAAUUCCACGUGUAGCGGUGAAAUGCGUAGAGAUGUGGGGGAACACCAGUGGCGAAGGCGGCUCUCUGGUCUGUAACUGACGCUGAGGCGCGAAAGCGUGGGGAGCAAACAGGGAUUAGAUACCCUGGUAGUCCACGCCGUAAACGAUGAGUGCUAAGUGUUAGGGGGUUUCCGCCCCCUUAGUGCUGCAGCUAACGCAUUAAGCACUCCGCCUGGGGAUACGGCCGCAAGGCUG